RNAcentral lists this ribosomal RNA (497 nucleotides) under uncultured bacterium. RNAcentral describes it as "partial 16S ribosomal RNA". It matches the Rfam family "Bacterial small subunit ribosomal RNA", at positions 28 to 507 of the family's 1533-position model. The record is from RNAcentral.
GAUGAACGCUGGCGGCGUGCCUAAUACAUGCAAGUCGAGCGAACGGACGAGAAGCUUGCUUCUCUGAUGUUAGCGGCGGACGGGUGAGUAACACGUGGAUAACCUACCUAUAAGACUGGGAUAACUUCGGGAAACCGGAGCUAAUACCGGAUAAUAUUUUGAACCGCAGGGUUCAAAAGUGAAAGACGGUCUUGCUGUCACUUAUAGAUGGAUCCGCGCUGCAUUAGCUAGUUGGUAAGGUAACGGCUUACCAAGGCAACGAUGCAUAGCCGACCUGAGAGGAUGAUCGGCCACACUGGAACUGAGACACGGUCCAGACUCCUACGGGAGGCAGCAGUAGGGAAUCUUCGGCAAUGGGCGAAAGCCUGACGGAGCCACGCCGCGUGAGUGAUGAAGGUCUUCGGAUCGUAAAACUCUGUUAUUAGGGAAGAACAGAUGUGUAAGUAUCUGUGCACAUCUUGACGGUACCUAAUCAGAAAGCCACGGCUAACUACGUG